RNAcentral lists this ribosomal RNA (363 nucleotides) under uncultured organism. RNAcentral's name for it is "bacterial SSU rRNA". It matches the Rfam family "Bacterial small subunit ribosomal RNA", at positions 527 to 896 of the family's 1533-position model. The record is from RNAcentral.
CGUAGUGGCUAGCGUUGUCCGGAUUUAUGGUUAAAGGGUGCGUAGCGGUCUUUUAAGUCAGUGCUGAAAUACUCCAGCUUAACUGGAGGGGUGGCAUUGAUACUGGGAGACUUGAGUGUAGUCGAGGUAGGCGGAAUUGACGGUGUAGCGGUGAAAUGCUUAGAUAUCGUCAAGAACACCGAUAGUGAAGACAGCUUACUAGGCUACAACUGACGCUGAGGCACGAAAGUGUGGGGAUCAAACAGGAUUAGAUACCCUGGUAGUCCACACUGUAAACGUUGAUGACUCGCUGUGUGCGAUAUACAGUACGCGGCUAAGCGAAAGCGAUAAGUCAUCCACCUGGGGAGUACGCCGGCAACGGUG